Molecule: ribosomal RNA, 497 nt
Filed under: uncultured bacterium
Lineage: Bacteria
Description: partial 16S ribosomal RNA
Rfam family: Bacterial small subunit ribosomal RNA
Source: RNAcentral
GAUGAACGCUGGCGGCGUGCCUAAUACAUGCAAGUCGAGCGAACGGACGAGAAGCUUGCUUCUCUGAUGUUAGCGGCGGACGGGUGAGUAACACGUGGAUAACCUACCUAUAAGACUGGGAUAACUUCGGGAAACCGGAGCUAAUAUCGGAUAAUAUUUUGAACCGCAUGGUUCAAAAGUGAAAGACGGUCUUGCUGUCACUUAUAGAUGGAUCCGCGCUGCAUUAGCUAGUUGGUAAGGUAACGGCUUACCAAGGCAACGAUGCAUAGCCGACCUGAGAGGGUGAUCGGCCACACUGGAACUGAGACACGGUCCAGACUCCUACGGGAGGCGGCAGUAGGGAAUCUUCCGCAAUGGGCGAAAGACUGACGGAGCAACGCCGCGUGAGUGAUGAAGGUCUUCGGAUCGUAAAACUCUGUUAUUAGGGAAGAACAUAUGUGUAAGUAACUGUGCACAUCUUGACGGUACCUAAUCAGAAAGCCACGGCUAACUACGUG